RNAcentral lists this ribosomal RNA (441 nucleotides) under uncultured Candidatus Odyssella sp. Its description in RNAcentral is "bacterial SSU rRNA". It matches the Rfam family "Bacterial small subunit ribosomal RNA", at positions 335 to 793 of the family's 1533-position model. The record is from RNAcentral. Lineage: Bacteria; Pseudomonadati; Pseudomonadota; Alphaproteobacteria; Holosporales; Candidatus Paracaedibacteraceae.
ACUCCUACGGGAGGCAGCAGUGGGGAAUAUUGGACAAUGGGGGCAACCCUGAUCCAGCAAUGCCGCGUGAGUGAUGAAGGCCUUCGGGUUGUAAAGCUCUUUUAUCAGGGACGAUGAUGACGGUACCUGAUGAAUAAGCUCCGGCUAACUUCGUGCCAGCAGCCGCGGUAAUACGAGGGGAGCUAGCGUUGUUCGGAAUUACUGGGCGUAAAGGGCGCGUAGGCGGUAUCAUAAGUCAGAUGCGAAAGCCCCGGGCUUAACCUGGGAUGUGCAUUUGAAACUGUGGAACUAGAGAUCGAGAGAGGAAAGUGGAAUUACGAGUGUAGAGGUGAAAUUCGUAGAUAUUCGUAAGAACACCAGUGGCGAAGGCGACUUUCUGGCUCGAAACUGACGCUAAGGCGCGAAAGCGUGGGGAGCAAACAGGAUUAGAUACCCUGGUAG